UAAAUUUUUUCUCAUGUUCUCGCACCCUGAGCAUCAAUGAAAUUUGGAAGCUGUGUAGAGUUUUCCAAUCUAUCAUUGCUAGGCCAUCUCCUUUUCUCCUCCUGCCUUCCUUAUCCGCCUACUGAUUUGAUCUUGUGAAAGUGCUUGAAAUCCUUUUCUUUAAUGCUUAUUUGGGCCCCUGGAUCUAGAGUCCGCUCAACUAUUGUGCAGUCUCUCUUACGCAUUUUAAACACAAAUUUGAUGCCAAAAUACAUUAUUUAAAAAUUGCAUUGCAGGCUGAGAGUGCGACUGGUGCCCUCCACUUAAGUGGCUCGAUACUGGGAUCCUUGCCGAUAAGGGUAAGCCCGUCAAAGACACCUGUGCGGCCACGGGGUCCUCGCCAACCCAUGCAUUGAAACUUUUAGGUCCAUGACAUGGCUGAUAGCACUCUUAUAUAUAUACACAUAAUAUAAAGGAAUUUUAAGGUAUAUCUCUUUUGGUUUAUAAGUUGUUUCUAUGUAUUUUUUUUUUACGUUUUGUACCUUUGGCAUAUCUUUCUAUGUCUAGGGGGAUGGAUUGUUCUUUUCUGGCACAUAGAGUUGGUUGGGACGUCGAGGCUUUGGACAUUUAUGAGUAGGCAAUGGAACAAAUAUCCCCCGGAUAUCUAUGAAAGAAACUGUUUCAGUUGUCCGAAAAUCUUGCUGACUCUAUAACCCUUGAGUUCUUGCUGGAAGAAGCUUUUCUGGUUGCUUCUCAUCUAUUACUUCUAUAGAUUAUGAAAGGAAAGCUUGCAUCCUGCUACACCUACCGGCUUUGAAGUUCAUGAACUUUCCCUGGAUAAAUUUUUACGUAUCUAUGAAGAAUACCCUCUCCUCAGGCAUUGUGGAUUAAUUUAUAUACCUAUUUCACGAUUAGGGACCUCAUCAGUGUGAGAAUAUUGUUACCGAUCGCUGAUCGCUGACCUCAUCAAUGCUUAAUGUUGAAUGAAUUCUGGUAUUGGUCAGAAAUUGCCACCUGUCAUGAUUCACAUAUAGGUUAAAGCUUAACAGUUAUGGAACCAAAAGGAAUUCAAUAAAAUUUGCAACCCUAGUUUUGAAUCCGUUCUGGUGUUCUUGGUCUCUACUGCAAAAAAGGAUCAAGAGAGAACUGAGAAUAAUAGUACCAUGCAGCUGUUGGAAUUUUUGAGAAAUGGCUCAGGCUAUUUAGUUAGGUUCUAAACAUUAAUCCUCAGAUCCUGUAUCAAGGACCUUGUUCUUGAACAUGUAAAUGUAAAGGAAAAAAAGGAGAAAAAAGAAAGAAAGAAAGAAGAAAAG
This is a non-coding RNA of Phoenix dactylifera (date palm), 1292 nucleotides long. NCBI's taxonomy places the organism in Eukaryota, Viridiplantae, Streptophyta, Magnoliopsida, Arecales, Arecaceae. The record is from RefSeq and is a predicted model, not a curated record.